AUCAGGAAAAAGAUCAGAUUAAACUACCAAAAUUUCACUAGCCAUGGAAGUUUUGGUUAGUGCAAGAAUCUGUCUCUGCUCUAAGACUGAAACAAGCUUUAUGUAACUACAGGAUGGAAAGUGUAUAUCUUUUAGCAGUGCAGAUAGACUGUGCAAGACGCAGAGUGGCUGGAGUUGGUGGUUGGUGGAGACCCGAGAUUGAAGAGGCCUGUGUGAGCGUACUGAAGACUAAGCACUCAGCAUGGAGUCAAAUCACCAGAACUUGACUGACUCACAAGAAGGUAGCCCUGUCCCAACUAGCUGAAGACUCAGCUUUAAGCAAAGAGUAAAAAGCAAGAUGACAAAAGCCCUCUGAAAAAUCACUGGCUUUCCAAUCCUUUCCUAAACCCACUAUGAGUGGUGGUUUCAGUAUCAUCAAUUACAUUUCUCACUUCUGAAUGUAUGAAGAAACCAACAGCCACUCCAGACCCUAGGUGCUUACGGCCUGGCGCUGACUUCCUCAGAAAGGAAAACAAGAGUCUACAUUUCAAUGACAAACCUGAACUGAAGGUAUCAAACAAGGUACAAGGAAUGGUUCAUCUCCCUUCUUCCUUGUGACUUUCCACCUCACGUGAACAAAGGAAUGCCAUUUUUUAAAUAGAAGGUUUAUGGGAUUGGUCUUUUUUUUUUUUUAACAUCCUUUUGUCUCAGUUGCAGUUUCCUAGAA
Long non-coding RNA from Strigops habroptila (Kakapo), 706 nucleotides. RefSeq lists it as uncharacterized. The transcript is spliced from 5 exons. NCBI's taxonomy places the organism in Eukaryota, Metazoa, Chordata, Aves, Psittaciformes, Psittacidae. The record is from RefSeq and is a predicted model, not a curated record.